UUGACCCCGUCGGACCCCACUGCUAUCGAGAUGGGACUAAAGUAUGCUAGUCGAACGACCAGAACUAUGUCUGGAAGUGGCACACUGCUCAGUAACACGUAGCUAACCUACCCUUAGGACGUGGAUACCCCCGAGAAAUUGGGGUUAAUCCGCGAUAGAUGUAAUGUCCUGGAAUGGUAUUACGUCUAAAGGUAUUUCAUACAUGUUUGAAAUAUGCCUAAGGAUGGGGCUGCGGCCGAUCAGGCUGUUGGUGAGGUAAUGGCUCACCAAACCUUUGACCGGUACGGGCCAUGAGAGUGGUAGCCCGGAGAUGGACACUGAGACAAGGGUCCAGGCCCUAAGGGGCGCAGCAACCGCGAAACCUCCACAAUGCACUCACGUGCGAUGGGGCUAUCUCGAGUGCCACCUGAUGAAGGUGGCUUUUCCUUGGUCUUCAAAGCCUUGGGAAUAAGAGGGGGGCAAGACUGGUGUCAGCCGCCGCGGUAACACCAGCCCCUCGAGUGGUGGGGAUGAUUAUUUGGCCUAAAGCGUCCGUAGCCGGCCGAGCAAGUCUUCCGUUAAAUCCAGCGUCUCAAGCGUUGGACCGCGGGAGAUACUACAUGCUAGAGAGUGGGAGAGGUCAGCGGUAUUCUGGGGGUAGGGGCGAAAUCCUUUGAUCCCCGGAGGACCACCAGUGGCGAAGGCUGCUGACUAGAACACGUCUGACGGUCAGGGACGAAAGCUGGGGUAGCGAACCGGAUUAGAUACCCGGGUAGUCCCAGCCGUAAACGAUGCAUGCUAGGUGUUGGGUUGGCCACGAGCCACCCCAGUGCCGCAGGGAAGCCGUUAAGCAUGCCGCCUGGGAAGUACGAUCGCAAGAUUGAAACUUAAAGGAAUUGGCGGGGGAGCACCACCAGGCGUGAAGCCUGCGGUUUAAUUGGAGUCAACGCCGGGAACCUUACCGGGAGCGACAGCAGAAUGAGGCCAGAUUGAAGAUCUUGCCAGACGAGCUGAGAGGAGGUGCAUGGCCGUCGCCAGUUCGUGCCGUGAGGUGUUCUCUUAAGUGAGAUAACGAACGAGACCCGUGCCACAUGUUGCCACCAGUAUCUAAAGGAUAGCUGAGCACUCUUGUGGGACCGCAGCCGAUAAGGCUGAGGAAGGUACGGGCAACGGCAGGUCAGUAUGCCCCGAGUCUCCCGGGCCACACGCGGGCUGCAAUGGUAUAGACAGAGGGCUGCCACCCCGAAAGGGGGAGCCAAUCCCUAAACUGUACCUCAGUUGGGAUCGAGGGUUGCAACCCACCCUCGUGAACAUGGAAUGCCUAGUAACCGCCAGUCAUCAUCUGGCGGUGAAUACGUCCCUGCUCCUUGCACACACUGCCCGUCGAACCACCCGAAUGAGGUUUGGGUGAGGAAUGGUCGAAUGUUGGCCGUUUCGAACCUGGGCCUCGUAAGGAGGGUUAAGUCGUAACAAGGUG
This 1456-nucleotide ribosomal RNA is filed under the name metagenome. Its description in RNAcentral is "bacterial SSU rRNA". It matches the Rfam family "Archaeal small subunit ribosomal RNA". The record is from RNAcentral.